This 305-nucleotide ribosomal RNA is filed under the name uncultured bacterium. RNAcentral describes it as "bacterial SSU rRNA". It matches the Rfam family "Bacterial small subunit ribosomal RNA", at positions 335 to 637 of the family's 1533-position model. The record is from RNAcentral.
ACGCCUACGGGGGGCAGCAGUGAGGAAUAUUGGUCAAUGGGCGUAAGCCUGAACCAGCCAAGUCGCGUGAGGGAUGAAGGUUCUAUGGAUCGUAAACCUCUUUUAUAAGGGAAUAAAGUGUGGGACGUGUCCUAUUUUGUAUGUACCUUAUGAAUAAGGAUCGGCUAACUCCGUGCCAGCAGCCGCGGUAAUACGGAGGAUCCGGGAGUUAUCCGGAUUUAUUGGGUCUAAAGGGUGCGUAGGCGGCCUUUUAAGUCAGCGGUGAAAGUCUGUGGCCCAACCAUAGCAUUGCCGUUGAAACUGGG